AUGGGAAAAAAAAAAACCAAAAAAAGGAGAGAGAGAAAUUAAACGAACCCCUCGACUCGAGCUCGAGCUCCAACUCGGAGGAGAUCUCCGGCGAGGCGCGGGACGCCGGCGAUGGCGGCGGGGGCGGAAGACGCGCUGUACGAGAUCCGCCGCCACGCGUCGGGAUCCCACGUGAUCCCUCAUCAGGAAGGAUACCAAGGCGCUGCGACAAGUAGUGGUGGUUCAGACGCCGGAGGAGGGGUCCUCUCCUAUCUCUCCUUGCAAGGCGUGAGCAAGCUUAGGGAGAGGUGGACUAGGUACAGUGCGCUGGGGAGGAGUAGACAGAGGAAGAGGGCGGAUGGCGUGGCAUUGUUCGUGUCGCCAAACGCGGAAUAUGUGUCUGUAACUGUUGGGAAUCGCAUCAUCAUCUUGAGGAAACGCGAUGGCUAUGCAUCACCUUGCGGUGUUUACACAAAAUAACAUUUUUCACCAAUGGGGCUUGGCUGGAGGCUCAAGGAAUUUUUGGUGUGGUGGAUGACCUAAGCACACUCUACUUAAUCAAAGAAAAUGGGGACUUAUUAGCAAGGAGGACAUGCGAUCAGUUGAAGCUAUCUUCGUCUAUUAUUGAUCUGGUUGUGCAGGAUGGUUCAAGCUUGCUUAGGCCGGGCUUCUACAUUUUUACAAGUGACUGCAUGGUUCAUAGAUUUGAUUACACUCAAGGACCUGAGGCCAGUUUGUGUGAAGUUCCUAUAUCAACUAAAGAUGUGAUGUCAGCUAGGACUAUGCAGUUACCUCGGAGUUUGUCGUGCAUUGAUUACGAUGAACAUCACUCACUAUUUGUCCUAGCUGCAGAUUCCAAUGUUUCAUUUAGCUCCAAUAGUUAUUCUGGUAUGCCCAUGUACUAGUCUGUUUUCAACUGCUACACCUGUCACUGGUAGUCAGUCCUGCACUGUGUAGUCUAUUCGCUAAAUUUUUUCACAAUAUGGAUUUCUGCUUAUCUUCUCCAUUAUCGAUCUGUCCUUGAUAUUACACUUAGAGAUGAAGUUAACCGUAUCAGAAAAGAGUACGAGGAACUUCUAUCAAAGAAUAACUCACUAAAGGAAAAACUUGAAGGCAAACAGCACAAAAUUGAUGAAGCAGGACUUAACAAGAAGCUGCAACAUUCUGGCGAUGACAGCCAGAAAAAAGGAAACUAAUUGAGCUAUCAUGCAAUGCUCGCAUGGCAUGGCCCUAACUAGAUUAUUGGGAGGCGCAAUUGUAGUAUGCGUAUUAACUCCUUACUUUAUUGCAGUUAAUUGUUACCAGGUUGUGAUAAUGUUAAUGCCAACCUUGUGUGUGGGUGGUUCCUGUUUCAGAUCUAUCUUGGCUUAUCUUUUAGAAGUCAAGAUGUGACUGAAGACGUAGGUUGUGACCCAGUUCACUGUAUGUGUCGAAGGAUUUCUCCAGCCGGGUGGCGGAGUGCACCUGCCUAAUCCUAGUUUAGGAUGAGUUUGGGGAAGUCAAGGAAUGCUAGAUCAAGAGGCGUAUGAACAUGGAAAGCACAUAGGGGUUUAGACACAGGGGUUUAGAGUGAUUCAGGCCGCCGGAGCGUAAAACCCUACGUCCACUGUGUGUUGUAUUGCCUGUGAGUUUGUGAAACUUGUGUGUUGGUGGAACCUGAAAAAGCUUGCGUUCUAACGUGCGCGCUCUCCCUUUUAUAGACUUAAGGGGAGCGCGUACACUGAGCGGGAUCCCGACAGGUGGAUCCAGCGACAUAUUAAAUAACGUACACAUUGGAGCUUUGAAUGCCACAGAUUCGGAAAUCUUACUCUU
This is an RNA transcript of Panicum hallii, 1791 nucleotides long. It is a transcript of the gene named MAG2-interacting protein 2-like, with no coding region annotated. The transcript has 6 exons. NCBI's taxonomy places the organism in Eukaryota, Viridiplantae, Streptophyta, Magnoliopsida, Poales, Poaceae. The record is from RefSeq and is a predicted model, not a curated record.